CAGUAGCCGCGGGAAUACGAAGGGGGCUAGCGUUGCUCGGAAUGACUGGGCGUAAAGGGCGCGUAGGCGGAUGGCACAGUCAGAUGUGAAAUUCCCGGGCUUAACCUGGGGGCUGCAUUUGAUACGUGUUGUCUAGAGUGAGGAAGAGGGUUGUGGAAUUCCCAGUGCAGAGGUGAAAUCCGUAGAUAUUGGGAAGAACACCGGUGGCGAAGGCGGCAACCUGGUCCUUGACUGACGCUGAGGCGCGAAAGCGUGGGGAGCAAACAGGAUUAGAUACCCCGGUAGUCCCUGUCUCUUAUCU
This 301-nucleotide ribosomal RNA is filed under the name uncultured bacterium. RNAcentral's name for it is "partial 16S ribosomal RNA". It matches the Rfam family "Bacterial small subunit ribosomal RNA", at positions 509 to 809 of the family's 1533-position model. The record is from RNAcentral.